GACGAACGCUGGCGGCGCGCCUAACACAUGCAAGUCGAACGAGCGAGAGAGAGCUUGCUUUCUCGAGCGAGUGGCGAACGGGUGAGUAACGCGUGAGGAACCUGCCUCAAAGAGGGGGACAACAGUUGGAAACGACUGCUAAUACCGCAUAAGCCCACGGCUCGGCAUCGAGCAGAGGGAAAAGGAGCAAUCCGCUUUGAGAUGGCCUCGCGUCCGAUUAGCUAGUUGGUGAGGUAAUGGCCCACCAAGGCGACGAUCGGUAGCCGGACUGAGAGGUUGAACGGCCACAUUGGGACUGAGACACGGCCCAGACUCCUACGGGAGGCAGCAGUGGGGAAUAUUGCACAAUGGGGGAAACCCUGAUGCAGCGACGCCGCGUGGAGGAAGAAGGUCUUCGGAUUGUAAACUCCUGUUGUUGAGGAAGAUAAUGACGGUACUCAACAAGAAAGUGACGGCUAACUACGUGCCAGCAGCCGCGGUAAAACGUAGGUCACAAGCGUUGUCCGGAAUUACUGGGUGUAAAGGGAGCGCAGGCGGGAAGACAAGUUGGAAGUGAAAUCCAUGGGCUCAACCCAUGAACUGCUUUCAAAACUGUUUUUCUUGAGUAGUGCAGAGGUAGGCGGAAUUCCCGGUGUAGCGGUGGAAUGCGUAGAUAUCGGGAGGAACACCAGUGGCGAAGGCGGCCUACUGGGCACCAACUGACGCUGAGGCUCGAAAGUGUGGGUAGCAAACAGGAUUAGAUACCCUGGUAGUCCACACUGUAAACGAUGAUUACUAGGUGUUGGAGGAUUGACCCCUUCAGUGCCGCAGUUAACACAAUAAGUAAUCCACCUGGGGAGUACGACCGCAAGGUUGAAACUCAAAGGAAUUGACGGGGGCCCGCACAAGCAGUGGAGUAUGUGGUUUAAUUCGACGCAACGCGAAGAACCUUACCAAGUCUUGACAUCCCUUGACGAUGCUGGAAACAGUAUUUCUCUUCGGAGCAAGGAGACAGGUGGUGCAUGGUUGUCGUCAGCUCGUGUCGUGAGAUGUUGGGUUAAGUCCCGCAACGAGCGCAACCCUUAUGGUCAGUUACUACGCAAGAGGACUCUGGCCAGACUGCCGUUGACAAAACGGAGGAAGGUGGGGAUGACGUCAAAUCAUCAUGCCCUUUAUGACUUGGGCUACACACGUACUACAAUGGCGUUAAACAAAGAGAAGCAAGACCGCGAGGUGGAGCAAAACUCAGAAACAACGUCCCAGUUCGGACUGCAGGCUGCAACUCGCCUGCACGAAGUCGGAAUUGCUAGUAAUCGCAGAUCAGCAUGCUGCGGUGAAUACGUUCCCGGGCCU
This 1332-nucleotide ribosomal RNA is filed under the name uncultured bacterium. RNAcentral's name for it is "bacterial SSU rRNA". It matches the Rfam family "Bacterial small subunit ribosomal RNA", at positions 28 to 1381 of the family's 1533-position model. The record is from RNAcentral.